UACGGGAGGCAGCAGGGGGAAUAUUGCACAAUGGGCGAAAGCCUGAUGCAGCUAUGCCGCGUGUAUGAAGAAGGCCUUAGGGUUGUAAAAUACUUUCAUCGGGGAGGAAAAAACAAAACUAAUAAUUUUAUUUCUUGACGUUACCCGAAAAAGAAGCACCGGCUAACUCCGUGCCAGCAGCCGCGGUAAUACGGAGGGUGCUAGCGUUAAUCAGAAUUACUGGGCGUAAAGAGCACGUAGGUGGUUUUUUUAAGUCAGAUGUGAAAUCCCUGGGCUUAACCUGGAACUGCAUUUUGAAACUGAAAUACUAGAGUAUCGUAGAGGGAGGUAGAAUUCUAGGUGUAGCGGUGAAAUGCGUAGAUAUCUGGAGGAAUACCUGUGGCGAAAGCGGCCUCCUAAACGAAUACUGACACUGAGGGUGCGAAAGCGUGGGGAGCAAACAGGGAUUAGAUACC
RNAcentral lists this ribosomal RNA (455 nucleotides) under uncultured bacterium. RNAcentral describes it as "bacterial SSU rRNA". It matches the Rfam family "Bacterial small subunit ribosomal RNA", at positions 340 to 786 of the family's 1533-position model. The record is from RNAcentral.